Molecule: ribosomal RNA, 1085 nt
Filed under: Salmonella enterica
Lineage: Bacteria; Pseudomonadati; Pseudomonadota; Gammaproteobacteria; Enterobacterales; Enterobacteriaceae
Description: partial 23S ribosomal RNA
Rfam family: Bacterial large subunit ribosomal RNA
Source: RNAcentral
AGGGCGGGACACGUGGUAUCCUGUCUGAAUAUGGGGGGACCAUCCUCCAAGGCUAAAUACUCCUGACUGACCGAUAGUGAACCAGUACCGUGAGGGAAAGGCGAAAAGAACCCCGGCGAGGGGAGUGAAAAAGAACCUGAAACCGUGUACGUACAAGCAGUGGGAGCACCCUUUGGGGUGUGACUGCGUACCUUUUGUAUAAUGGGUCAGCGACUUAUAUUCUGUAGCAAGGUUAACCGUAUAGGGGAGCCGGAGGGAAACCGAGUCUUAACCGGGCGUUAAGUUGCAGGGUAUAGACCCGAAACCCGGUGAUCUAGCCAUGGGCAGGUUGAAGGUUGGGUAACACUAACUGGAGGACCGAACCGACUAAUGUUGAAAAAUUAGCGGAUGACCUGUGGCUGGGGGUGAAAGGCCAAUCAAACCGGGAGAUAGCUGGUUCUCCCCGAAAGCUAUUUAGGUAGCGCCUCGUGAAUUCAUCUCCGGGGGUAGAGCACUGUUUCGGCUAGGGGGCCAUCCCGGCUUACCAACCCGAUGCAAACUGCGAAUACCGGAGAAUGUUAUCACGGGAGACACACGGCGGGUGCUAACGUCCGUCGUGAAGAGGGAAACAACCCAGACCGCCAGCUAAGGUCCCAAAGUCAUGGUUAAGUGGGAAACGAUGUGGGAAGGCCCAGACAGCCAGGAUGUUGGCUUAGAAGCAGCCAUCAUUUAAAGAAAGCGUAAUAGCUCACUGGUCGAGUCGGCCUGCGCGGAAGAUGUAACGGGGCUAAACCAUGCACCGAAGCUGCGGCAGCGACGCUGAUGCGUUGUUGGGUAGGGGAGCGUUCUGUAAGCCUGCGAAGGUGGCCUGUGAGGGUUGCUGGAGGUAUCAGAAGUGCGAAUGCUGACAUAAGUAACGAUAAAGCGGGUGAAAAGCCCGCUCGCCGGAAGACCAAGGGUUCCUGUCCAACGUUAAUCGGGGCAGGGUGAGUCGACCCCUAAGGCGAGGCCGAAAGGCGUAGUCGAUGGGAAACGGGUUAAUAUUCCCGUACUUGGUGUUACUGCGAAGGGGGGACGGAGAAGGCUAUGUUGGCCGGGCGACGGUU